RNAcentral lists this ribosomal RNA (1316 nucleotides) under uncultured bacterium. RNAcentral's name for it is "bacterial SSU rRNA". It matches the Rfam family "Bacterial small subunit ribosomal RNA", at positions 28 to 1381 of the family's 1533-position model. The record is from RNAcentral.
GAUGAAUGCUGGCGGCGUGCCUAACACAUGCAAGUCCAGCGGCACCGAGGGGUGCUUGCACCCUGUCUGCGAGCGGCGGACGGCUGAGUAACGCGUGGGAAUCUACCCUAAAGUGAGGGAUAACCGCCCGAAAGGGUGGCUAAUACCGCAUAUGAUCUUCGGAUUAAAGGAGUUAUCCGCUUUAGGAAGAGCCCGCGUUAGAUUAGGUAGUUGGUAGGGUAAUGGCCUACCAAGCCAACGAUCUAUAGCUGGUCUGAGAGGAUGAUCAGCCAGACUGGAACUGAGACACGGUCCAUACUCCUACGGGAGGCAGCCGUGAGGAAUCUUCCACAAUGGGCGAAAGCCUGAUGGAGCAACGCCCCGUGAACGAUGAAGGGCCUCGGGUUGUAAACUUCUUUUAUGAACGAAGAAUAUGACGGUAACUCAUGAAUAAUCACCGGGUUAACUUACGGGCCGCCAGCCGCCGUUAUUACGUACGGGGCAAACCUUUUCCGGGAUGGACGGGCGUAAAGAGUUGCGUAGGCGGUUUAGUAAGUGAAUAGUGAAACCUGGUGGCUCAACCAUACAGACUAUUAUUCAAACUGUUAAACUCGAGAGUGGUAGAGGUAACUGGAAUUUCUAGUGUAGGAGUGAAAUCCGUAGAUAUUAGAAGGAACACCAAUGGCGUAGGCAGGUUACUGGACCAUUUCUGACGCUAAGGCACGAAAGCGUGGGGAGCGAACUGGAUUAGAUACCCAGGUAGUCCACGCCGUAAACGAUGGAUACUAGCUGUUGGAGGUAUCGACCCCUUCAGUAGCGAAGCUAACGCGUUAAGUAUCCCGCCUGUGGAGUACGGCCGCAAGGCUAAAACAUAAAGGAAUUGACGGGGACCCGCACAAGCGGUGGAUCAUGUUCUUUAAUUCGAUGAUAAACGAAGAACCUUACCAGGGUUUGACAUCCCGAGAAGAUUUACGAAAGUAAAUUGUGCCUUUUGGAACUCGGUGACAGAUGAUGCAUGGCCGUCGUCAGCUCGUGUCGUGAGAUGUUUGGUUAAGUCCAUCAACGAGCGCAACCCUUGUGAAUAGUUGAAUUUUUCUAUUCAGACUGCCCCGGCAACGGGGAGGAAGGAGGGGAUGAUGUCAGGUCAGUAUUUCUCUUACAUCCUGGGCUAGAAACGUGAUACAAUGGCAAGUACAAUGCGCAGCGAAGCCGCGAGGUGAAGCAAAUCGCACCAAAGCUUGUCCCAGUUCGGAUUGGAGGCUGAAACUCGCCUCCAUGAAGUCGGAAUCGCUAGUAAUCGCAGGUCAGCAAACUGCGGUGAAUACGUUCCCGGGUCU